Molecule: long non-coding RNA, 510 nt
Filed under: Aedes aegypti (yellow fever mosquito)
Lineage: Eukaryota; Metazoa; Arthropoda; Insecta; Diptera; Culicidae
Description: lncRNA AAEL021216
Source: RNAcentral
AGUAGCUAAAAUGGCUGUCCUUGAAGUGGCCAAAGCAGAUGGAACCGAGGAAGAAAGUGGGUUCCACCGGGGGGAGGAUGUUGCCACAACUGCGGACGAUUUGGCAUCCCGGCCACAUACACCAAAUACGUAGAACAUCAUCAUGCGUUAUCGUUGCAUCGUAUUGUGCGAAUUGUCAGAUGAGGUGAAGUAGGUACCUAUCUUAUGACAGAGUGACUGGCAAAUUUGUGCAAGGUAGAUGAAACCACAAUAUUAGAUCGCAAUAAUCCUAUUGAGUUCGUUUGAUUUAAGUUUAGGCUAAAUCAGGGCGAAAUAGUUAUUAGCAGUAUUUCCUUAUGAAACUAUUCCUCAUCGUAAAAGCUUGAAGAAGGUCUUGAAUUGAAUUUAUACAGAACGGAAUCGAAGUCGGUACCAAAUAGUUGUCCCACUGAAUUCUUUGAAGCACUCAAUAAACGGCUUUGAAAAUCAGUGUUCCCGGCUUCUCAUUUGGUCCUGUUCUCAACAGAGUGA